GAAGUGGACAGCGCGAGGUACGAGUGUUAAUUGCACACACUCACCGUCUAGUCGACAGAGAGGUGACCCAGGACGAGGCUGGUUCUCCUCUCGCUCCAGACUAAGACUCGUGAGGCGAGCUAAGAGGAAGCACGGCCGAGCCCCCCACCCCUUCUCUACUCUACAACGGGAGGUGUCCCCCCUCUCCAACGCCCCCUUUGUAUCCAGCAUUUGCAACUCACCACCCCCACCCCUACGUGCACCAACGAUCCAGCAGGACCACAACAGACUAUCUUCUGGCCCAGCCAAGGGGCCCAGGGACUGCGUGGCUUGGUGGGUAGAGCAGCCGUGCCAGAAACUUGACAAACUUGCUUGCCAUCCAAAUCACUGCUGUUGUGUCCUUGGGCAAGCCACUUCACCCUUGCCCCCAGUGCCUCUCACACUGAUGAAUGAAUGAUAGGUGGUGUUCGGAGGGGCCGUAGGCGCAAAUUGGCAGCCACGCUUCCGUCAGUCUACCUCAGGACAGCUGUGGCUACAAAUGUAGCUUACCACCACCGCCGUGUGAAUGUGGGGGUCGCGGGGGGCGCUGGAGCCUAUCUCAGCUGCAUUCGGGCGAAAGGCGG
Molecule: long non-coding RNA, 602 nt
Organism: Entelurus aequoreus (snake pipefish)
Lineage: Eukaryota; Metazoa; Chordata; Actinopteri; Syngnathiformes; Syngnathidae
Exons: 3
Source: RefSeq, a predicted model, not a curated record